CCAUUCCUGACCUAGGGGCUUUUCUAAGGAAGGCAGAAAAUGUUUGCCUAACACAGUGUGGGAAUUUUGCUGUCCUCGUGGAUCUUCAUAUCUUGCCACAAGGUUCAAACAAAGAUACAAGCUGGUUUUCUGAACAGAAGAAAGAGGAAGUCUGUUUACUGUUAAAAGAAACCAUUGAUUCAAGAGUUCAGGAGUACUUGGAAGUUCGCAAACAGCACAGGCCAUCAAAUGCAGAAUUCACAAGAUCCAAUCCCUUGUCCUUAAAAGGUUGAGACUAUUGUGAAGAGUGCUAUUGUGAACACUGUAUGUUCAUGCCUAAGUUCAGCUUUAGAUACUCAAGCAUUUUUUUCAAAG
Molecule: long non-coding RNA, 354 nt
Filed under: Homo sapiens (human)
Lineage: Eukaryota; Metazoa; Chordata; Mammalia; Primates; Hominidae
Description: HSALNT0264288
Source: RNAcentral